This 384-nucleotide ribosomal RNA is filed under the name uncultured bacterium. Its description in RNAcentral is "bacterial SSU rRNA". It matches the Rfam family "Bacterial small subunit ribosomal RNA", at positions 338 to 719 of the family's 1533-position model. The record is from RNAcentral.
CCUACGGGAGGCAGCAGUGGGGAAUAUUGGACAAUGGGCGAAAGCCUGAUCCAGCAAUUCCGCGUGUGUGAAGAAGGCCUUCGGGUUGUAAAGCACUUUAGUGGGGAAGGAACAGCUUGGCCACACCAAGCCUUGACGGUACCCCAAGAAUAAGCACCGGCUAACUCUGUGCCAGCAGCCGCGGUAAUACAGAGGGUUGCAAGCGUUAAUCGGAUUUACUGGGCGUAAAGGGUGCGUAGGUGGUUUUUUAAGUCGGAUGUGAAAGCCUGGGGCUCAACCUCAGAAUUGCACUCGAUACUGGGAAACUAGAGUUCGGUAGAGGGCGGCGGAAUUUCCGGUGUAGCGGUGAAAUGCGUAGAUAUCGGAAGGAACAUCAAUGGNGAG